GGACCCGCACAAGCGGUGGAUGAUGUGGAUUAAUUCGAUGCAACGCGAAAAACCUUACCUACCCUUGACAUGUCUGGAAUCCUGAAGAGAUUUGGGAGUGCUCGAAAGAGAGCCAGAACACAGGUGCUGCAUGGCUGUCGUCAGCUCGUGUCGUGAGAUGUUGGGUUAAGUCCCGCAACGAGCGCAACCCUUGUCAUUAAUUGCCAGCAUUUAGUUGGGCACUUUAAUGAGACUGCCGGUGACAAACCGGAGGAAGGUGGGGAUGACGUCAAGUCCUCAUGGCCCUUAUGGGUAGGGCUUCACACGUCAUACAAUGGUGCAUACAGAGGGCUGCCAAGUCGUGAGACGGAGCAAAUCCCAGAAAGUGCAUCGUAGUCCGGAUUGAAGUCUGCAACUCGACUUCAUGAAGUUGGAAUCGCUAGUAAUCGCGGAUCAGCAUGUCGCGGUGAAUACGUUCCCGGGUCUU
RNAcentral lists this ribosomal RNA (466 nucleotides) under uncultured bacterium. RNAcentral's name for it is "bacterial SSU rRNA". It matches the Rfam family "Bacterial small subunit ribosomal RNA", at positions 917 to 1382 of the family's 1533-position model. The record is from RNAcentral.